CUAAAAAUCUGUCGCUCUUAGUGGAGCUGAGCGAGCGGGCAUCUUCGGGUGUCAGCGGCGGACGGGUGAGUAACGCGUGGGAACGUGCCUUCUGGUUCGGAAUAACUCAGGGAAACUUGAGCUAAUACCGGAUACGCCCUUUUGGGGAAAGGUUUACUGCCGGAAGAUCGGCCCGCGUCUGAUUAGCUAGUUGGUGGGGUAACGGCCUACCAAGGCGACGAUCAGUAGCUGGUCUGAGAGGAUGAUCAGCCACACUGGGACUGAGACACGGCCCAGACUCCUACGGGAGGCAGCAGUGGGGAAUAUUGGACAAUGGGCGCAAGCCUGAUCCAGCCAUGCCGCGUGAGUGAUGAAGGCCUUAGGGUUGUAAAGCUCUUUUAUCCGGGACGAUAAUGACGGUACCGGAGGAAUAAGCCCCGGCUAACUUCGUGCCAGCAGCCGCGGUAAUACGAAGGGGGCUAGCGUUGCUCGGAAUCACUGGGCGUAAAGGGCGCGUAGGCGGUCUUUUAAGUCGGGGGUGAAAGCCUGUGGCUCAACCACAGAAUUGCCUUCGAUACUGGGAGAC
Molecule: ribosomal RNA, 565 nt
Filed under: bacterium
Lineage: Bacteria
Description: bacterial SSU rRNA
Rfam family: Bacterial small subunit ribosomal RNA
Source: RNAcentral